RNAcentral lists this long non-coding RNA (2465 nucleotides) under Daphnia pulex (common water flea). RNAcentral's name for it is "uncharacterized LOC124209805, transcript variant X8". Lineage: Eukaryota; Metazoa; Arthropoda; Branchiopoda; Diplostraca; Daphniidae. The record is from RNAcentral.
AUCCCCAGCAACGUCUACCUAAAGAAGGAAAGGCCAGUUUGCAUUUCAAUCGAAGGUCAUGGAGAUCAUUACGAAAAGGUGUCAUACAGUGGAGAAGAGGUUGGGUGAGAACGGUACGUUUUGCAUCAUUAUCAAGAAGGUAAAAAAAGCCGCAAGGCUUGAGAGGAGGGGUGAGAAAAAUUUUUAUAAAAGGCGGGAGAAAGUCGAUAGGUAUCAGUCGAGUGAGUGUCUCCGACACGGCAACAGCUGCAGUAUUCGUCGUAAUAUCAGUUCGCAAUUAUGGUUAAUUAUGGCGUUGUGUUGCUGUUGGGUGUUGUAUCGUUGAUGUUGACCACGAGAGAAAAUCUUUUAAAAGGAAAGAAAAAGGGCAACGGAAGUCAAUCGAGUAAGCAUCUCCGAACGGCAGCAGCUGCAUUCUUCGUCGUAUUAUCAGGUCACAAUCACGGGUUCCUGAUUUGUUUGAUGAUCGUGUGUCAUCAAAUUUGACUAGAGUUCUGAAUUCUUAGUGAUGGACUGUUUGCAGAAUAAAAUAGAAUUUGACUGAUGAUACAUAUAUUUGGCCAGGAUUCAGACGCUGGCCAGGAUGGCGAUGUUGGUGGAUGAGACGCGUCGCAACCAUCUCUAAUUCACCAAAGUCAAUCUGCAGACGGGUUGGUGAACGCUUGAAGGUCACGGGAUUAGGUAAAACUGUCGUCUGUCGUGCAGUGGUGUGCAGUGCAGUGCAGAGGUUGGGUGAGAACCAUGCAGUGGUGUAGAGGUUGGGUGAGAAAGUCUGUGCAGUGGUGUAGAGGUUGGGUGAGAACCGUGCAGUGGUGUAGAGGUUGGGUGAGAACGACACGUGUUGCUUCAUUUCCAAGCAGGUACAAUUGCCGCAAGGCUUAGGAGGUGAGUCAGGGUAAGAAAAAGUAGUAUAAAAGGAGAGAGAAAAGUCAGUUUGAGAUCAGUCGAGUGAACAUCUCCGACACGGCAACUACUGCUGCGCACCAUUGGUAACCAACCUCCUUCUUCAUCGUUUAACCAGUUCGCAAUCACGGUUAACUAUGGCGUCGUGCUGCUGUUGGGUGUUGUAUCGUUGAUGGCUGGGUCGACCACUGGUGUACCGAUGUCUCCUGGGUCCGCAAUGCUGCUGCCUCCCACACAACAACAACAUACGCAACCACCGGAUACUACACCACCAAGGCUCCAGAGUCCUACCACAACUUAGGAUGCCCCGAGCUACUACACCGAAGCUCUGAAGUAUAACUCUACCCCGAGCCACACCAACAAAGAUCCGGCGUACAACACCAAGGCUCCCAAGUACUACACCACUAAGGCACAGGAAUACUACACGAUUACGUAUGCUGCCCCUGCCUACUACACCGAGGCCCCUAAUUACUACAACACUGAAGCACCCAAGUACUACACUACAACCUACACUGCCCUAAGCUACUACAUUAACGCCCCGAAGGAUUACUCUGCGUAAAAGGAGUCGUUAAAAAAGAAGAUGUAAAAAGGAGUGAGAAAAGCAGGUGCAAUUGCCGCAAGGCUCGAGUUGAAAGGUGAAUCAGGAGAAGGAAAAAUCCGAUUGAACGAGAGAAAGGGCGAUGGAAAACAGUCGAAUGAGCAUAACAACUGGAUUGUUCAUCGUUAAACCAGUUCAUAAUUAUGGUUAACUGUUGCUUCGUUGUGUUGUUGAUCGUUGUAUGGCUGGGUCGACCACUGUGGUCGGUGUACCGAUGUCUCCUGGUUAUAGCUGAUAGCCUGAUACCAAACCGCAAUGCCGCCGCCUAACUACACAACAACUUUAACGACCAGUUACAACACCGAGGCCUAGACCGAGACCCACAAAUACUACACCACCAAGUCACCGAAGUAGGAUACGAUAACUUGCGCUUCGCCGAGCUAAUACACCGAUCCCCCGAAUUAUUACUUUGCCUCCAGUUGCACCACCAAGUCAGCGAAGUACUACACGACUACGUAUCCUGCUUAUCUUACUACACCGAGGCUCCAGCUACUACACCGAGGCUCCAGCUACUACACCGAGACUCCAGCUACUACACCGAGACUCCAGCUACUACACCGAGGCUCCAGCUACUACACCGAGGCUCCAGCUACUACACCGAGGCUCCAGCUACUACACCGAGGCUCCAGCUACACAACCACGACUGAUGCGGUCAAGGUUUACGUAGCCCCAACUUUCUACUCAACUACUGCCCCUUCGUAUUACGUUGAACCGAAAUACUGCACUGAAGCUUCAGGUUACUACACCGAAAAUCUGAAGUAUUACUCUGCUCAUAGUAACUACACCACUAAGGCACCUGAAUAGUACACUAAGACAUACGCUUCUCCAGAUUUCUAGAAGGAUUCUAAAUGCCAGAGCUGAUAUGAUGGAAAAUCUGUACACAUACAUAUACACAAUAUCAUAAUAGUUACUAGUCACUAGGAAUUGUUCUUUGAUGAGAAAAUAAAGUUUUUAAUCUGAGUAA